This 71-nucleotide transfer RNA is filed under the name Marmota monax (woodchuck). RNAcentral describes it as "tRNA.Ala". The record is from RNAcentral. Lineage: Eukaryota; Metazoa; Chordata; Mammalia; Rodentia; Sciuridae.
UGGGAAUAUAGGUCAGUUGGUAGAGUGCUUGCCUUGCAUGCACAAGACCCUGGGUUCAAUCCCCAGCACAA